CACUGUGUGUGUGUGUGUGUCUUAUGCUAUUUUUCCUUCUUUCCUUUUAUGUCAUGUAUCAUAUUCAUAUUUAGGCAAUAAUUUGAUAACUAAUUAGGUGUGUCUUAUGCUAUAUUUUUUCCCCCUUUUCCUUUUAUAUCGUAUUUAUAUUUAGAUACUAAUUUUAGAUGUUAAUUUUAUGUUUGUGUAUAUGUUUUAAUGCAGGACCACAAUGGAAACUCAGCUACAUGUAUAUGCUAAUUUGUGUUAUCCUGGAUAAAUAAAGGCUAUUAUUAUUAUUAUUACCUAGCUCUAUCUGUGUUCAUAAUAUAAGUAAUGUUGUGUACAUGUAUCUACAAGAUUAUUAUCUCCAUAUCUUACCGCUUUCUCAUUUUCUUGGAAUUUAAACAGCAAAUCAUCAUACUGCACAAGAACUGAAAAUAUAAUAUCAAUAUUAUAAUAAAUAUAAUAGCAAAUAUAUGUCUUUUUUUUUUAUUAUUUAUAACUGCAUGUGUAUGUAGUUCCAAAGAUCUAAAUAACCAUGCUUAAAAUUUACUUUAUAUAAAUCGUUUUUAAAAAUCAAUGAUUUUUAAUGAUUCAGUAAUUCAAUAUACAUACCAUACUUACAUUGUUUAUGGGAUUUAUUUAAUAUUUUCAAAAGAUGUAUGCAAUUAUCAUUGUAUAUAUCAGGAAAUUUUUUCCCCAGUUUUACUUUGUCAUUUUUGCUCACAGGCAAUUAUAUCGCUUAGUUUCGAAUUUACUAUUAAACAGGUGAAAUCAAACUGAGUUCAUUUUCAUAAUUCAUAACCAAAUAAUUUUGAGGUAAAUUCAAAAUGGAAUGACAAUGUUUUCUAAUUCUGUGAAUAUAACAUUGGGCAAAAAUUUCCAGUAUACAGUACCGCAUCUAUCAAAUAUUGAAAUAGCUAUCUAGAAUUUUCAAAACUCAGUCGAUCCAAAGGUAAAAAAUAUUCUUUUGGAUUUGCAGAAAGCGGCAGUGCUUUUCAUUGUUAUAUAUGUCCAGGUAAGAAUGAUAGACAAUCAAGGAAGAAAACACAUAUAACAGGGAAAACAGAGGAAUUAAAGUCAAUGGAAUAAAAAUCACAGAUGGGUUGUUACAUCCCCCUUCCUGUUCUCUCUUACACUGCAUCACAUCUGUCCAUGAAUGGCCCCGUGAUACAUAAAUCCUUAGCUUACCUUGACUAGAUAGUGCUUUCAGUUUCUCAUAACGCUCUUGUAACUCUUUAAAAUCCCCCUGUUCCAUUUUAUACGAUUCUUCCUUCUCCAAAGGCAAGACAGGUCACAGGACAAUUUUCCUACAACCAGGAAGUUUUUUGUUUGAGUCCCGAUCCC
Ostrea edulis (European flat oyster) is the source of this 1329-nucleotide long non-coding RNA. RefSeq lists it as uncharacterized. Lineage: Eukaryota; Metazoa; Mollusca; Bivalvia; Ostreida; Ostreidae. The record is from RefSeq and is a predicted model, not a curated record. The transcript is spliced from 2 exons.